UGUAGAAUAGGCGGCCCACUUUCAACGACUUCGGAAUUUUUUUUGCCGAAGUAAAAAAAGUGGAUUUUAGUUAUAAUCCACUUCACGGGUUCACUUUUUAAAAGUCACUUAUAUGUUUACUUUUAUAAUCCAAACAACCGAAAUAAUUCCACUUCACAAAAAUACCACUUUUAUUGUUUCACUUGCAGGCAACCAAACAUGCCCUAAAACAUAAGUUAAUAAAAAGUAUUAACGGCUGUCCAAUAAUCGCGCUAUUAAAUUGCCGCUAAAAGGCAAUUUUAUUAUAGUGUCUCCAAAUCCGAUCAUGGAGCAAAAAAAACUCUUGAUCGCAUUUUUGGUGCCUUAUUUGGGUACCUUAUGACGGUUCCUCAUCUGGGUUGUUCUUUAGAUAUUCAAAGGAGGCUCUUUUGGCGUGCUGAAAGCUUCUCGAGGUCAACCCCGAGAUCUACACCGCGUGAAACUAUCGAAAGCUCGCUCUUCGGCACAAUCUCAACGGAGUUUCUGAUCCUGUGGCCGUCAAAUCGACCGUAGGAUGAGCUCAGAGUGGAAUUUGUGAAGAUAGUAGAGGCGGCGUUGAGGAGGAAUCCCAAGUCUUAUGGGGCUUAGUAUCACAGGAAAUAGGUGUUAAAUCAGAAGACUUGCGAAGGAGUACUUUGGGUGUUUUAGUUGCUUUUGAUGCGAUACAGUGGAUGCUUUUUUUAUAUAUAUAAAUCUAUUUGUUUUGGUGCUUACUUUA
This is a long non-coding RNA of Ananas comosus (pineapple), 736 nucleotides long. RefSeq lists it as uncharacterized. The transcript is spliced from 2 exons. The record is from RefSeq and is a predicted model, not a curated record. NCBI's taxonomy places the organism in Eukaryota, Viridiplantae, Streptophyta, Magnoliopsida, Poales, Bromeliaceae.